RNAcentral lists this ribosomal RNA (440 nucleotides) under uncultured bacterium. RNAcentral describes it as "partial 16S ribosomal RNA". It matches the Rfam family "Bacterial small subunit ribosomal RNA", at positions 338 to 795 of the family's 1533-position model. The record is from RNAcentral.
CCUACGGGAGACAGCAGUAGGGAAUAUUGCUCAAUGGGGGAAACACUGAAGCAGCAACGCAGCGUGGAGGAUGAAGGUUUUCUGAUUGUAAACUCCUUUUGUUAGAGAAGAUAAUGACGGUAUCUAACGAAUAAGUAAGGGAUAACUUCGUGAAAGCAGCCCCGGUAAUACGGAAGGUGCAAGCGUUACUCGGAAUCACUGGGCGUAAAGCGCGCGUAGGCGGGAUAGCAAGUGAGAUGUGAAAUCCUAUGGCUUAACAAUAGAACUGCAUUGGAAACUGUUUUUCUAGAGUAUGGGGGAGGUAGGUGGAAUUCUUGGUGUAGCGGUAAAAUCCUUAGAGAUCAAGAGGAAUACUGAUUGCGAAGGCGACCUGCUAGAACAUUACGGACGCUGAUGCGCGAAAGCGUGGGGAUCGAACAGGAUUAGAUACCCUUGUAGUC